AAGUACGGAAGAGAUAACCGCUGAAGGCAUCUAAGCGGGAAACUCGUCUGAAGAUAAGGUAUCCCGGGGACUUGAUCCCCCUGAAGGGUCGUUCGAGACCAGGACGUUGAUAGGUCGGGUGUGGAAGUGCAGUAAUGCGUUAAGCUAACCGAUACUAAUUGCCCGUGAGGCUUGAUCCUAUAACACUGAUGGUUAUG
RNAcentral lists this ribosomal RNA (197 nucleotides) under Achromobacter sp. ACM01. Its description in RNAcentral is "partial 23S ribosomal RNA". It matches the Rfam family "Bacterial large subunit ribosomal RNA", at positions 2751 to 2925 of the family's 2925-position model. The record is from RNAcentral. Lineage: Bacteria; Pseudomonadati; Pseudomonadota; Betaproteobacteria; Burkholderiales; Alcaligenaceae.